ACUCCUACGGGAGGCAGCAGUGGGGAAUAUUGCACAAUGGGCGCAAGCCUGAUGCAGCCAUGCCGCGUGUAUGAAGAAGGCCUUCGGGUUGUAAAGUACUUUCAGCAGUGAGGAAGGUGGGUAUGUUAAUAGCAUACUCAUUUGACGUUAGCUGCAGAAGAAGCACCGGCUAACUCCGUGCCAGCAGCCGCGGUAAUACGGAGGGUGCGAGACGUUAAUCGGAAUUACGUGGGCGUAAAGCGCAUGCAGGUGGUUUGUUAAGUCAGAUGUGAAAGCCCGGGGCUCAACCUCGGAAUUGCAUUUGAAACUGGCAAACUAGAGUACUGUAGAGGGGGUAGAAUUUCAGGUGUAGCGGUAGAAUGCGUAGAGAUCUGAAGGAAUACCGGUGGCGAAGGCGGCCCCUGGACAGAUACUGACACUCAGAUGCGAAAGCGUGGGGAGCAAACAGGAUUAGACUACCCUGGUAGGCUCU
This 472-nucleotide ribosomal RNA is filed under the name uncultured bacterium. RNAcentral's name for it is "bacterial SSU rRNA". It matches the Rfam family "Bacterial small subunit ribosomal RNA", at positions 335 to 798 of the family's 1533-position model. The record is from RNAcentral.